RNAcentral lists this long non-coding RNA (861 nucleotides) under Gallus gallus (chicken). RNAcentral describes it as "lncRNA (ENSGALG00010000691.1)". Lineage: Eukaryota; Metazoa; Chordata; Aves; Galliformes; Phasianidae. The record is from RNAcentral.
GUGGGGGAAUGGGGGCUCAAUGUGUGGGGCAAUGGGGUGUGGGGUGGGACCCCAUUGGGGGACCCCAUAAACUUUGGGGUUCACCAUAUUGGGGGCUCAAUGUGUGGGGCAGUGGGAUGUGGGGUGGGACCCCAUUGGGAUCCCAUUGGGGGAAUGGGGGCCCAAUGUGUGGGGCAAUGGGGUGUGGGGUGGGACCCCAUUGGGGGACCCCAUAAGGUUUGGGGUUCACCAUAUUGGGGGCUCAAUGUGUGGGGCAGUGGGAUGUGGGGUGGGACCCCAUUGGGAUCCCAUGGGAGGGGAAUGGGGGAUCAAUGUGUGGGGCAAUGGAGUGUGGGGUGGGACCCCAAUGGGAUCCCAUUGGGGGAAUGGGGGCCCAAUGUGUGGGGCAAUGGGGUGUGGGGUGGGACCCCAUUGGGGGACCCUAUAAAGGGUGGGGUUCUCCAUAUUGGGGUCCCAUGGGGAGGGGAAUGGGGGCUCAAUGUGUGGGGCAGUGGGGUGUGGGGUGGGACCCCAUUGGGGGACCCCAUAAGGUUUGGAGUUCUCCAUCAGUGGGGUCCCAGCAGAGGAAUGGGGACCCCAAACUGUGGGGCAAUGGGAUGUGGGGUGGGACCCCAUUGGGAUCCCAUUGGGGGAGUGGGGGCGAAAUGUGUGGGGCAAUGGGGUGUGGGGUGGGACCCCAUUGGGGGACCCCAUAAGGUUUGGGGUUCUCCAUAUGGAGGUCCCAUUGGGAGGGGAAUGGGGACCCCAAUGUGUGGGGAAAUGGGGUGUGGGGUGGGACCCCACUGGGGGACCCCAUAAACUUUGGGUCCUCUAUUAGUGGGAUUUUGGGGUCCCCCAUUAUAGGGCUAUGGGGUGACCCCA